Brienomyrus brachyistius is the source of this 1217-nucleotide long non-coding RNA. RefSeq lists it as uncharacterized. The transcript has 4 exons. Lineage: Eukaryota; Metazoa; Chordata; Actinopteri; Osteoglossiformes; Mormyridae. The record is from RefSeq and is a predicted model, not a curated record.
AUGUCAUUCGCAUUCCUAUAUAAACGGCAAAUUCAUCUUCACAUUUCAUUUUGAACAAAAUCAACAUACGUGCAUGUACAUUCACUUUAUCAUGGCAAGGAAUUUCUUUCAGAGAGCUGUAAACCAGCUUAAAAACAAAGAGUUUCGGAAGUAUCUGAGGAGGUAUGUGCAUCCAGAGGCGCUUGCAGUUUAUGUAAAAAUCCAAUAUGUAAACUUUCCUUGUCAAUUGCCGUCAGUGUAUAAGAAGCUUAAACUCUUCACUUUGUUGUAGAUGUAAGCAUAAAGUCACUGCUUACAUUUGGGUCCCUCAUUGCAGAAGUGCUGCUGGUGAUCACAGAAUUGCACUUAUAAUUUUUUUUGUUUGUUUUCUUUGUCUUUCCGUGAUCUGAAUGUGCCUGUUGGGAAAAUCCUUACAACAAAAGCACGCACUUCUGGGGACCAGUUAUUAAUUGGGGUCUUCCCCUAGUCGCAGUCAGCGAUAUGAGGAAGAGCCCCGACAUCAUCAGCGGUCGAAUGACCUUCGCUCUUACCUGUUACUCAAUGAUAUUUAUGAGGUUCUCAUACCGAGUCCAGCCCCGAAACUGGCUCCUUUUUUCUUGCCACAUGGCCAAUGUGACGGCACAAGUGAUCCAGGGAGGCCGGCUCAUCCGACACAAAAUGCAGAACAAAAAUGCGAAAUGAGCCUUUGCAUGCAGUAGAUCAGAGCACAGACGGGUUCGUGCAGAUAAAGGCAAAUUGAGGAAGAUCUCUACCAGAUCCAUGCAUCAGAUCAGGAGAGCAGCUGCUAAAAUGCCAUUAUGUAGCAGCAAACAGAUAUUUGAAGCUGCUGGUGCCUCUGGAGUCCCAUGGACAUCAAGGUGUAGAGUCCUCCACUGCAACUGUGCAUAAACCUUCUAUUCUGCCGCCACUAACCAGUGCUCACAAGCAGAAACUGUCCAAAUACACAAGUUCAAUGGAUGCAAGACUUGUGAAGCUGCUAUCAAAUAAGGAGUCCUAUGUCAAAAUGUGACGUGACCUGUUUGAUUUCAGUACAUAUGUUGCAAACACAACAAAUGACAAUUUUCAGUUCUUUGCAACUUAUAAAGUGUUUUGCAGCUUACUGUGCAUAAUAAUUUGGAACAGUUCAUUGUAAGUGUUUUGUUUGACAAAAAAAUACUGUAAUCAUUAGAUUUGUUCAAUAAAAUUUGAAUUGCACUCAAUAGUUGACAACAUGAGAA